GUCAGAAAUCACCAGUGGGUUGCGAGGGUGAUUGAUUGUGUUGCAGCAGACAAUUGGCCAAGCAAAACAGCUUGAGCUGAGGGCAAAUUCGGGCUUCACCUCUGGCACCACGUGUGUUCCCACGGCCAAGCAAGNNNNNNNNNNNNNNNNNNNNUCCUGCUGACGGUUUGAGCGCUUCUUGCACCAGUAUGUUUCCAUGCCAGAAGGAGCAGCAGCCCCAUUUGGUGAGCAGCCCAGUUUUUUCCGGCAGCAGAAGGUACUGCAACUCAAGGUAUACGUAGUUUUCUUUUUUAAAGUUAUGUAAUUAUCAGUGUGAGCUGAUAUCCUUAAAUUACAGUAGCUCCUGUGUUAUUGAUAAGACAAGCAAACUGGGUCAGAAGUGUUAAAUGAUACGUACAAGACAUCUCUCUGAUGCCUAGCGCUGGACUCCUACCCACAUUCCUCUCUCUUUGGGCACUUCUGAAACAAAAGGAGAAACUUGGGGGUCACAGAACUCUUAAGAAAUCCCCCAACCAUUAACAUACAGUCCGAUGGCAGCUCACCACAGCACAAGUCUGAUAUGGUGUCUUGAGCCUGCAUUUAUGCGUUUUGCCUUAAUAACAAUAUUUCGGAAAAGCUUAUAGCUAAUGCCUCAAAAAAAGCCAAGAAAACACGCAGCUUUCUACAUGGCAGGAGCAGUGCUACAUCCUAAGUAGCGCGUUGUAUUUUUCCUAAUGCAAAGCUCUUUUCCAGGCAGUGAAUUGUAAGGAGAAACUGAUCAGUGUAAUAUUGUGCCAUUUAUCCAGGGCAUCAAACACGCGCUGCUCUUUAUUUAAGCCGCACUCGAGUCGAAGAGGCACCCCGGUGAGUGGAAUUACACAGCCCUCACGUCUCACUUGAUAGGUUUUGACACAGACUGUCACCACAUCUGCCUACUGAGCUAUCAUGACUGCACGUGCAAAUUGAAUGAGGAUAGGACAUAGUCCCUUGUCUGCAUCUGCUAACACUCACAGGAGUCUGGGAGGACCUGUUUCAGAGAGGGGCCGAAGACCUGCACUACGCUGUCGUCUAACGUGGACAACAGAGCAGAAGUUUCUAAUUAUAGGUGUUUCUAUUCUUCGUCAAAGUCAACAAUUUCUUCUUGUCUGUUUAAACCCUCCUGAAACCGCCUGAAACACGCUGGGCAACAUCUUCCUGGGCUCUGGCCUUCCCUGAGAAUCCAGACUGAUGUUUCUAACCUGUGUUUGCAAAUCUGCGUGCCACAGCCUUCUACACUGGAAAGGUGGAAAAUUGUGAAUGUGAAACUGUGAAAAAAAAAAAUCUCACUUCCAUGCUGUAGGCUGACGGUUUUUCAAAAGAGCUUCACUUUUCUCUACUCUGUUCUUCCAUCUCAGAUUAUAUUUAGAAGAACUUAAUAUUAGAAAUUGUACUAUAAAAUGAAUGAAAAGAGUUGAGAGCAUGAAUUAUGGACACAAGAUUUAUGCUUGACAACCCGAAGUUUGCCUUCUAAGUAUUCGGGUACACAGAUACAACUAUCCUGAUUUUUCAUAGAGGUGAAGUAAUUUGAGGCCUUCUUUUAUGUCAGUGGAAUUUGAGGCUCAUGGCUCUUCUGAAAUAACCUAGCCAGGGCAGGGCACAGGGCAAGUUAUUUGUAUGUGAACUUUUCUAUUAACGAUAUAUCAUACAUGUGAUUGGAGUAGGGUUGAUGCAAUUCAGGUGAAACUGUGCUGUGUAUACUACUGGCGGAAUGUGAAUCUCUUCAGAGGAGUAUAAAGUAGCCCACAGCCUCAUGGCGCAAGGGGUGGAGGACUUCCAGAGAGGCGUUUCUGAUCAGCAGGACAUCAUUGAUUCUUGGACCACACUAUACCCCAUCACUCCAGGACACAGAGAAUCAUUUUUCUACCUUCUGUUGGACUGCAAGGCUUCCGGUCUGAGGUAAGGAAUCUGAUAGUGCUAAUAAUACUGUGAAAUAAACAAAGCGGCUUUGACUCCCUCA
Molecule: long non-coding RNA, 1975 nt
Organism: Struthio camelus australis
Lineage: Eukaryota; Metazoa; Chordata; Aves; Struthioniformes; Struthionidae
Source: Ensembl